UAUCCUUUUGGGCUGCUGAGAGCACAUGUAACUGCACAGUCUCCACAGGAUGGCUAGGGAGGAACAGAAGGGAGGCAAUUAUAUCUGCAAGGAACACACUCAAAAGUGCCAGGACAAAAUUCCUCCCUGCUCUGUAACAGCACCAGGCAUCCUCCUGGAGAGCAAGCCAAGGAUUACAAACAGGGAUUAACCUGUUACGCGAAUUUGCUGAGAGCAAAGUAAUUUGUAAAUAGCAAUCUCCUCCAUUCAUUGUUAUCUAAAAAAGGUUCUGAUCUAGUUCUGCAAAUGUUGACGUUUUCCUGCAAGCAGCGAUAGAGGAGAGUCUCACAAUAAAAGCCUGCAUCAAAAUCCAGAAACACACCAACAAGCAGAAAACUGGCUGGCUGGAGCUACCUUGGAGGGUGGACAAGCAAGGAUGGAAGAGAAAGUUUAUUACUGAGAACAACUCUCUCCCUCAGAUGAGAGCAGCCUCUAAAGACGAGCUAAGGAUACAGAAUAGGAGUGGAAAUUGCUCUGUUUCAAACACCACAGAUUAAAGCAAUGUCUCUUGGAGGAGACUGCCCAGCUCCAGGAGCAAUCCUCACAAAUGGGGAGGACAAGAGCCAUCCAGGUCUGGUGACUGCCUUCAGGUGAGCAAAGCUCAGCAAGAUGCAGGCCACCAGGAGGGGGAAUCGCUGCACUCAUCAGCCUCUUUGCUCCCACCAGAGCCGGGACAGGGGUGACUUUGAAAAGCCCCAUGUGAACAAAAACCAAAAGCAAGCCAGCGCAUAUUUUGGCGGAUCGAGAUAACAAUAAAAGCUGGCACAGCAUCAUUCUGCAAAGCCUCCGUAUCAUGCAGAUGGAGUUCUCACCACCACAUGGCAGCUUUUUUCACCUUUAAUUCCACCCUCAUACAUCAUCUCUGAACUCUACCCAGCUUUCGCACCAUGCACAGGCACCAGCUUGGGUGCAGCAGCGCAGAAGCAUUUGCACCAGUGAGAGCGAAGCUAACACACCUUCUCCUCCUCCUCCAGAGCCACAGUGAGGUAUCAAAGACCACCUCUGCCUGCCUGCCUCCAGCACCACUCCAUGUUCAACAUAGUGAUGAACCCAGGCAAAAACUACUGCUCCCUAGGACAGGCCUUGCUCCUUCCUCACUUGCUUCUCUGUUCGUGUAACAGACUAUUCCUGAGCAGUUUGCUUUCUCUG
Molecule: long non-coding RNA, 1188 nt
Organism: Aquila chrysaetos chrysaetos
Lineage: Eukaryota; Metazoa; Chordata; Aves; Accipitriformes; Accipitridae
Exons: 3
Source: RefSeq, a predicted model, not a curated record